This is a non-coding RNA of Peromyscus maniculatus bairdii (prairie deer mouse), 715 nucleotides long. Lineage: Eukaryota; Metazoa; Chordata; Mammalia; Rodentia; Cricetidae. The record is from RefSeq and is a predicted model, not a curated record.
UGUUGCCUGGAAACGAGCGGAAGCGAGACCUGAGUCUGAGGAGGCGGGGCAAAGAGGCAGCGAGCUGUGGGCGGGGCUAGUCAAUGCUCCGGCCCAGGAGACUUCCAGUAGAAGGUGUGGCCCUGGUUAAAGUUGUGUCUUCCCACUCAAGAUCCAAAUCAAAGGCAUGUGUCUUCCUACCUAAAGGGUCUGGACUAAAAGUGGAUUCACUCACUUCAAGCCAAGCAAAAAGUCUUUCACAGGUCUCACACAUCUGCCAGUGUCAGGAACAACAAUCUCAUUAGGAACUGGAGGAACAUUCUGGAGAAACCACAGUCUACCUGAAGCUUUAGUUCCAUCCUCACACCUGCAUCCAAUCAAGAAGCGCAGUGAGCAUCCUUGUUUGUGAUUAUUUGCACACAGGUGGUUGGCGAGUGGGCAGGUUAGACUUCUGGAUGUGUGGUUGUCUUGCUGUGCACUUUGUGUCCAGGGGGAUUUUCAUGGGGCUUUCUCUAGUGGAGGAAGAUCCCUCCUGCUCAUCCUCAGGCCAAUGGCUGCUUACGUUUUUAGGAGAAACAAGGCUGUACCAGUCACUUGUGGGCAGGUCCUCUCAUCCUUGAUCUUUUAGCAGCGUGAUUCUCUGAGGCUUCAGAAUACAUUAUUCAGGCAUCUUUUUCUGUCAAUUACCAUGACAUCAGCUGGAACAACAAACAAACCAAUAAAAAGGAAUGGAUAA